CCUACGGGAGGCAGCAGUAGGGAAUCUUCCGCAAUGGACGAAAGUCUGACGGAGCAACGCCGCGUGAGUGAUGAAGGCUUUCGGGUCGUAAAACUCUGUUGUUAGGGAAGAACAAGUGCUAGUUGAAUAAGCUGGCACCUUGACGGUACCUAACCAGAAAGCCACGGCUAACUACGUGCCAGCAGCCGCGGUAAUACGUAGGUGGCAAGCGUUAUCCGGAAUUAUUGGGCGUAAAGCGCGCGCAGGUGGUUUCUUAAGUCUGAUGUGAAAGCCCACGGCUCAACCGUGGAGGGUCAUUGGAAACUGGGAGACUUGAGUGCAGAAGAGGAAAGUGGAAUUCCAUGUGUAGCGGUGAAAUGCGUAGAGAUAUGGAGGAACACCAGUGGCGAAGGCGACUUUCUGGUCUGUAACUGACACCGAGGCGCGAAAGCGUGGGGAGCAAACAGGAUUAGAUACCCUGGUAGUCCACGCCGUAAACGAUGAGUGCUAAGUGUUAGAGGGUUUCCGCCCUUUAGUGCUGAAGUUAACGCAUUAAGCACUCCGCCUGGGGAGUACGGCCGCAAGGCUGAAACUCAAAGGAAUU
RNAcentral lists this ribosomal RNA (583 nucleotides) under uncultured bacterium. RNAcentral's name for it is "bacterial SSU rRNA". It matches the Rfam family "Bacterial small subunit ribosomal RNA", at positions 338 to 911 of the family's 1533-position model. The record is from RNAcentral.